AAUAAAUGUAAUUUACAAUACAGUAAUUAUAUAAAUUUCGAAAAGAUUUUAGGUUAGCACAAAAUAAUUUUUAAAACAACAAAAUGCCUGUUCCAGACCCUUGACAUGUUAUGGCAAAGGCCCACUCUCAUAGGACAUGCUUUGUUGGAAUGCACAGCAAAGGCACUCAGGGGUUAAAGCAUUUGUGUAUCACCUUGAAAGAUAUAUGUUCAAUUGUGGGUCUUGCACUUUCAGUUUUUCAGAAUGGUUCCAAGCAUAGCCUGUCUGUGUUAUCUUAUCCUAAGUGUUAUUUUAAAGAUUUUCAUUUUGAGAUAUAAAACA
Molecule: long non-coding RNA, 321 nt
Filed under: Androctonus crassicauda
Lineage: Eukaryota; Metazoa; Arthropoda; Arachnida; Scorpiones; Buthidae
Source: RNAcentral